AUGAAUGAUCCCAAGUAUGCCUAUCCAUACCCUGCACAAGGAUAUUAUCAAGGUCCCCCAGUGAUGGCACCACCUCAAUAUGCUGCUCCACCACCCAGAAGACAGAGUGCUGGAUUCCUUGAGGGAUGUUUUGCAGCUCUAUGUUGUUGUUGUCUCAUAGAUGAGUGUUGCUGUGACCCUUCAAUCUUAUGUAUCUUCUGA
Molecule: non-coding RNA, 201 nt
Organism: Vicia faba (fava bean)
Lineage: Eukaryota; Viridiplantae; Streptophyta; Magnoliopsida; Fabales; Fabaceae
Source: the annotation of a GenBank genome assembly